This 207-nucleotide ribosomal RNA is filed under the name uncultured Arcobacter sp. Its description in RNAcentral is "partial 16S ribosomal RNA". It matches the Rfam family "Bacterial small subunit ribosomal RNA", at positions 568 to 774 of the family's 1533-position model. The record is from RNAcentral. Lineage: Bacteria; Pseudomonadati; Campylobacterota; Epsilonproteobacteria; Campylobacterales; Arcobacteraceae.
AAUGUAGGCGGAUUGAUAAGUUUGAAGUGAAAUCCUAUAGCUUAACUAUAGAACUGCUUUGAAAACUGUUAAUCUAGAAUGUGGGAGAGGUAGAUGGAAUUUCUGGUGUAGGGGUAAAAUCCGUAGAGAUCAGAAGGAAUACCGAUUGCGAAGGCGAUCUACUGGAACAUUAUUGACGCUGAGAUUCGAAAGCGUGGGGAGCAAACA